ACAACUUUUAACAACAGAUCUCUUAGUUCUAGCAUUAAUAAAGAACGUAGCGAAAUGCAAUAAGUAGUGUGAAUUGUAGAAUUUAGUAAAUUAUUAAAUCUUUAAACGCACAUUGCGCCCCUUAGUAUUCUAUAGGGCAUGCCUGUUUAAGCGUUAUUUGUACCCUUAAGCUCUACUUAGUGUUAGGUGUUUGUUCUACUUAGGACUUGCCUUAAAACAAUUAGUAGCUAGCACAUUAGCCUAAAGCGCAGCACAUUUUACGCCUCUUGUUAUAGUUGUUAGCAUCUAUUAAGAUACUUUUUAAGCUCUUAACCUUAGAUUAGGUAGGGAUACCCGCUAAACUUAAGCAUAUUAAUAAGCGGAGGAAAAGAAACUAACAGGGAUUGCCCUAGUAAUGGCGAGUAAAGCGGCAACAGCUUAAAUUUGAAAUCUAGCUCUUUUAGGGUCUAAGUUGUAAUUUGCAGAGGGCGCUUUAGCGUUAGCAGUAGUCUAAGUUCCUUAGAAUAGGACGUUAUAGAGGGUAAGAAUCCUGUAUGUAGUUGCUAGCCUUCGCUGUGUAAAGCCCCUUUAACGAGUCAAGUUAUUUAGGAAUGCAGCUCUAAAUAGGAGGUAAAUUUCUUCUAAAGCUAAAUACUAGCUAGAGACCAAUAGCGCACAAGUAGAGUGAUUAAAAGAUAAAAAGCACUUUAGAAAGAGAGUUAAAUAGCACGUGAAAUUGUUAAAAGGGAAGCGCUUGUAGCUAGACUUACCUAUAGUUGCUUAUCUAGGCUUUUGUCUAGUGCACUCUUCUAUAGGCAGGCUAGCAUUAGUUUAGGCAGUUAGAUAAAGGUCUCUAUUACGUACCUCCCUUUAGGGAGGCCUUAUAGGGGAGACGACAUGCAACUAGCCUAGACUAAGGUCCGCGCAUCUACUAGGAUGCUAGCGUAAUAGCUGUAAGCGGCCCGUCUUAAAAUAUAGACUAAGGAGUCUAACAUCUAUAUAAGUGUUUAGGUGUUAAGCCUAGACGCGUAAUAAAAGUAAACAGAGGUAGGAACCCUUUUAGGGUGCACUAUUAACUAAUCCUAAUAUCUUUAGAAGGAUUUAAGUAAGAGCAUAGCUAUUAGGACCUAAAAGAUAGUGAACUAUGCUUAAAUAGGGUAAAGCUAGAGGAAACUCUAGUAGAGGCUCGCAGCGGUUCUAACGUGCAAAUUAAUUGUUAAAUUUAGGCAUAGGGGCGAAAGACUAAUUAAACUAUCUAGUAGCUAGUUCCUACUAAAGUUUCCCUUAGGAUAGCAGUAACGUAUUUAGUUUUAUAAGGUAAAGCAAAUAAUUAGAGGCCUAGGGGUUAAAACAACCUUUACCUAUUCUUAAACUUUAAAUAUAUAAGAAGUCCUUAUUACUUAAUUAAAUAUAGACACUUAAAUGUACUAUUACUAGUAGGCUAUUUUUAGUAAGUAGAACUAGUAAUGCAGGAUAAACUAAACAUAGGGUUAAGGUACUAGAAUGCACGCUUAUUAGACACUACAAAAGGUGUUAGUUUAUCUAGACAGUAGGACAGUAGCUAUAGAAGUUAGAAUCUACUAAGGAGUGUAUAAUAACUUACCUGCUAAAUAAACUAGCCCUAAAAAUAGAUAGCGCUUAAGCGUGUUACCUAUACCCCGCCACCAGGGCAAGAUUUAAGCCCUAGUAAGUAGGCAGGCGUAGAGGCUUGUAAUAAAGCCUUAGGGGUAACCCUAGGUAGAAUAGCCUCUAGUAUAGAUCUUAGUAGUAGUAGCAAAUACUUAAAUAAGAACUUUAAGGACUAAAGUAGAGAAAGGUUCUAUAUAAAUAGCAGUUAGACACAGGUUAGUUAAUCCUAAGAGAUAGGGUAAUUCUAUUUUAAUAUUAGUGCUUACGCCCUGCCCUUAAAACGGAAGCUAGUUAAUAUUCUAGCACCUAGAUAUAGAUUCUCUGUAGCAACACAACUAAGAGCAGAGACCUUAGCAGGAGCCCUAAGAAGAGUUCUCUUUUCUUCUUAAUAGUCUAUUACCCUAAAAUUAGUUUAUCUAGAGCUAGGGUUUAAUAGCUAGAAGAGCGCUAUACUUUUAUAGUAUUUAGUGCGCUCCUAAUAAGCCUUAAAAAUCUACUUAAAGAAAUAGUUUUUACGCUAGGUUAUACUUAUAACUAUAGUAGGUCUUUAAGGUAAAAAGCCUCUAGUUAAUAGAAUAAUAUAGAUAAGGGAAGUUAGCAAAAUACAUCUGUAACUUUAGGAAAAGGAUUAGCUCUAAGGGUUAGGUACGUUAGGCCUUAGGGAGAAGCCUCUAGCGUAGAAGGGCACUAACUGCAAGGUAGGCGCCUCUUAGCGCUAGGGUGCAGACACCCUUAGCAGGUUUUAGCUAUCUAGCGUAUAUUUAACAACUAACUUAGAACUAGUAUAGAUAAGGGGAAUCUAACUAUCUAAUUAAAAUAUAGUAUUGCAAUAGCUAGAAAGUAGUAUUAAUAUAAUAUAAUUUCUUGUUGCAGGAGGGAUAUUAACCGGAUCACGGAGCAUCUUGAUCCAAUCAAUCCCAAUCAAUACCCCUGUAUAACCCACUAUCUAAUCAACUGCUAGCUUACUGCUAAGUGCCUAAUAAAAAGCAGGAGCUCUAGUAAGGAAGGUUUACUAAUUAUUCACCUUCUAGUAAGGGUAGCUAAAGCUCUGGAUAUAUAAGUCUGAUUAUAGUAGAUAUAAUCUAAUAAUCUAUCUCCUAAAUUAUUCCUAACCUUAGUAAUCUAAAUUUCCACAGUUAUAAGCCUGGUUCGUGCUUUACCUUAUUAAGGAUUAUCCUAUCCAUUUAAGCGUAUUGUUUAACUUAGAUACUAAGCUAGCAAGCUUUACUCUUUAUACUAUUUCUUAAGCAGAAGCUUACUUAUUACUCUUCCACUAUAAGCGACUAAAUCCUAAAGGGGGAUAUCCUACUUACUAGAUUAACUAACUGGCCUACCUAGUAUAUUUAAUUUAGAUACCAUGCCCUAACUAAAGGGAUCUAGGCAGAGGUAGACCCUAAUACUUAGGAUGCUAAAAACCACUUUAAGAAUAAACUAAUCAAGCCUAGUAUGCCAACAGGUAGUGCGCUAUCUAACAUAACAAGCAAGCAGUAUAAACUCUAAAUAGCCUAGUACUAAGCUUGCUUAUUAGAUUAGGUAUUAAAGUUAUUAGUAAUCUAGAACCUUUUUAUAUAGGUUAAUAAUAUAGUAGAUUAAGGGAUCCUUACCCUAGCCUAUAUAGAGCUUAUUAAUUAAGGAAGAGUAACCCUUUAAGCACUUAUCUAAGUACUCUAUAAUAACCUAGCGCUAACUAAUUUAAGCGCUGUAACACUAGCAAGAUUAUAGUAUAAAGCUUAUCUUACUAAGGCAAAGAUAAGUAGCUAAGACACUAAUUACUAGUAGAAGGAGUAGAUAAUCC
RNAcentral lists this ribosomal RNA (3403 nucleotides) under Plenodomus lingam (blackleg of rapeseed fungus). RNAcentral's name for it is "eukaryotic LSU rRNA". The stretch from base 310 to 2582 matches the Rfam family "Eukaryotic large subunit ribosomal RNA". Lineage: Eukaryota; Fungi; Ascomycota; Dothideomycetes; Pleosporales; Leptosphaeriaceae. The record is from RNAcentral.